This 448-nucleotide long non-coding RNA is filed under the name Pan troglodytes (chimpanzee). Its description in RNAcentral is "long non-coding RNA NONPTRT008599". The record is from RNAcentral. Lineage: Eukaryota; Metazoa; Chordata; Mammalia; Primates; Hominidae.
CACCAAAUGUCUGAACCUGCAGUGCGGUAACAUGGCAACAGAUGUCACUGUUGUCCAUAAUAAGAGUAGUCCCGGUGCAGUAAUCAGGAAAGGAACCCAUAUAGAAUGGGUUGUUGUGAAAAUGUGAAAUGAGGAAGUAGAGAACUGAAGUCGAAGUGGCCCUUGUAUUUGCUGUCAAGGAGAACAGAGAUUGGUUGUAACGUUCAGAAGGAGAUCACUCAUCCUGGGAGAUACCAUCAGCCACGUUAUGAGACUACUCCAGCAGUUCUGUGGUGAGGAAGCAACUUUCCAGCAACAACUCAUUAUCUAUGGGAUUAUGUCACCUGGAAGUGAAUUUUCUAGCCUCAGUCAAGCCUUCAGAUAAUUACAGCCUCAGCUCACAUCUGACUACAAACUCAUGAGAGAUUUCAAUCCAGAAACACUCAAGCCAGAAACUUCCAAAUUCCUG